Molecule: long non-coding RNA, 828 nt
Filed under: Homo sapiens (human)
Lineage: Eukaryota; Metazoa; Chordata; Mammalia; Primates; Hominidae
Description: non-protein coding lnc-ZNF644-1:12
Source: RNAcentral
CCCCCUGGAGGCGGCAGCGCCCGUUUAUUUGAGGCUUCUAAUGUGAGGAAAAACACGGAAUGACAAGUGUGGGAAAGAGCAAGCACUAAAUUACUGUCAGAAAAAUAAACGGAGUAGCACAGUGCUGCUCGGUGAUUUACGGGGGCAAUUAGUCACCACCCCACGGCGCUGCUGAGGACAGCACGGCAGCAGACAAGUCAGGCCCAUGAGGAAGAAGAGGCUUUGCACUGCUCUCCAGACAACUUUUCAAACAACAAGAGAGGAUAUUUGAGCACAUUAGGUUUUGUGUCUUCAUUCUGGCCGUGUGAAGAUGUGCCUGCUUCGCCUUCCAUCAUGACUGAAGUUUCCUGAGGCCUCCCCAGCUAUGCUCCCUAUACAGCCUGCAGAACGGUCGGCUGCCUCCAAUCCUGAGGUCAUCACUCAUCAAGAGGGGAUAAUCCCAGGGACAGCAGGAUCUGCUUCGUUACUUGGAUUUAGGAGCCAGAAACCCAUCAGGCAACUAAACAGUAACAAUGACCCGCCAUUAAACACACUGAGAGAAGAGCAUGAUGAAGAGUUUGUACAAGAAGAAGCCAGGAGCACUUGCUGACAAUGCUUACAGAGACGCAGGCUUCUAUGAGCUCUGCCUGUUGAACUGCAGUAAAAAUAGAUCUCCUUCCCCAGAGAGGCUUGGAUGUGGGCACAAUAUCAGUUCAGACGAUGGUCAAUGCAUGUACUUAAUAGAGUGAAAAGACUUUGGACUGUGAAGUCAGAUUACCUGGGUCUGAAUUGUUAUUCUUCUACUUCUUUGUAGUAUGCUUUCACCACAUUAAAAAUUGUCUGAGCCUC